Molecule: ribosomal RNA, 594 nt
Filed under: uncultured bacterium
Lineage: Bacteria
Description: bacterial SSU rRNA
Rfam family: Bacterial small subunit ribosomal RNA
Source: RNAcentral
UAACACAUGCAAGUCGAACGGUAACAUUUCUAGCUUGCUAGAAGAUGACGAGUGGCGGACGGGUGAGUAAUGCUUGGGAACUUGCCUUUGCGAGGGGGAUAACAGUUGGAAACGACUGCUAAUACCGCAUAAUGUCUUCGGACCAAACGGGGCUUAGGCUCCGGCGCAAAGAGAGGCCCAAGUGAGAUUAGCUAGUUGGUAAGGUAACGGCUUACCAAGGCGACGAUCUCUAGCUGUUCUGAGAGGAAGAUCAGCCACACUGGGACUGAGACACGGCCCAGACUCCUACGGGAGGCAGCAGUGGGGAAUAUUGCACAAUGGGGGAAACCCUGAUGCAGCCAUGCCGCGUGUGUGAAGAAGGCCUUCGGGUUGUAAAGCGCUUUCAGUUGUGAGGAAAAGUUAGUAGUUAAUACCUGCUAGCCGUGACGUUAACAACAGAAGAAGCACCGGCUAACUCCGUGCCAGCAGCCGCGGUAAUACGGAGGGUGCGAGCGUUAAUCGGAAUUACUGGGCGUAAAGCGCACGCAGGCGGUUUGUUAAGCUAGAUGUGAAAGCCCCGGGCUCAACCUGGGAUGGUCAUUUAGAACUGGCAGA